Molecule: ribosomal RNA, 460 nt
Filed under: uncultured bacterium
Lineage: Bacteria
Description: partial 16S ribosomal RNA
Rfam family: Bacterial small subunit ribosomal RNA
Source: RNAcentral
CCUACGGGUGGCAGCAGUGAGGAAUAUUGGUCAAUGGACGAGAGUCUGAACCAGCCAAGUAGCGUGAAGGAUGACUGCCCUAUGGGUUGUAAACUUCUUUUAUAUGGGAAUAAAAUGUUCCACGUGUGGGAUUUUGUAUGUACCAUACGAAUAAGGAUCGGCUAACUCCGUGCCAGCAGCCGCGGUAAUACGGAGGAUCCGAGCGUUAUCCGGAUUUAUUGGGUUUAAAGGGAGCGUAGGUGGAUUGUUAAGUCAGUUGUGAAAGUUUGCGGCUCAACCGCAAAAUUGCAGUUGAAACUGGCAGUCUUGAGUACAGUAGAGGUAGGCGGAAUUCGUGGUGUAGCGGUGAAAUGCAUAGAUAUCACGAAGAACUCCGAUUGCGAAGGCAGUUCACUGGACUGCAACUGACGCUGAGGCUCGAAAGUGUGGGUAUCAAACAGGAUUAGAUACCCUGGUAGUC